AAUCUGCAAGCCAGCUUCACCCCUCCCAUCGAGUUCUGGUCAGGAGGCUUCUGGUUGAGUUCAAAUUGCUAUAAAGUUCAGCUGGAGCCUUCCUUCUCCCUGUGGCCUUUUCCCAGUACCUCUGGCCACCCUCCCGAAGGACCUUUGUAAGGCCAGGCAAAAAUGGCUUGCUAGGGGACCCAGUGAUCUCCCAGGGCUUUUUCCAACUGCUUCCUCUUCCCCUAUAUUUUGCUUGGCUCUCUAAAUCGACUCAGCUCCAGGGUCUCCCUCUGUUGCCCAGGCUGGAGGACAGUGGUAUAAUCAUAGCUAACUGCAGCUUUGAACUCCUGAGAACAGCAAUCCUCCUUCCUCGGUCUUCCGCAGCAUUGGGAUUACAGGUCCUGAAGAAAAUGAAGUUGAUGUUUCAGUGAGACACCUGUAUGCCAGAGAGUAAAAGGGAUUAUUGUGGAUUCCUGAGAAUUUUCUACAUAUGAAAUCAUGUCAUCUAUGAACAGAGAUGGGACUGUCUCGUUGGAGGAAAACAAGCUCAGGGCUCCCACUGAUUCCACAUUAUGUUGCAAGCUCCUACGAAGCUCCCACUCAAAAAGAAAAAAAAAACAAAACCUGAAAUCUGAAAUAGAAAUUAUCAGCCCGAGAAUGAGAUGUCCCUAAUGCAUAAAGAGUUCUGCUAAGGAAAUGAAGCAUGUUCUUCAAGCAAGAAAGAAACUCUUUUCUGGAUUACAGUUAUUCUGACAGCCACAGGCCUCACAGAACUAGCAUAGCCAAGAUUUACACUUCAAAGAAGCAACUAAGGAAGGUAAUGGAGGAAGGAAGAACAUCUCAAAGGACAGAUGUCAAUAUACUUGAAAGAAAUGCUGACAGAGAAGAACCAGGCUCAAUCAACAAACAUUAUCACCUCCAGAGGGACCUACCUGGUAAAACUCAGUGGGAUUUCAGAAUUCCUAUUGGCCACCCACUGCUCUUUGCCUCACAUUUCUUACUUUUCUGAAUGUGUGUACAUUGUGUUUAUCCGCUCCUAUUUCAGCAUUUUACACGUUGUGUGUGGAGGGCAAAUCACAUUUGUAUUUAGCUCAUAGACCACCAGAUGAAGAGAAGCAUCAUGUGCAAUCUUAUAUAAAUCAUUGGAUCCUGAAUUUCAAUCCUGAUUGUCAUUAAAUGUCUUUUGGAUAU
RNAcentral lists this long non-coding RNA (1170 nucleotides) under Homo sapiens (human). RNAcentral describes it as "HSALNT0376629". Lineage: Eukaryota; Metazoa; Chordata; Mammalia; Primates; Hominidae. The record is from RNAcentral.